GUGCCAGCAGCCGCGGUAAUACAGAGGGGGCAAGCGUUGUUCGGAAUUACUGGGCGUAAAGGGCGCGUAGGCGGCCUGUUAAGUCAGACGUGAAAUCCCUCGGCUCAACCGGGGAACUGCGUCUGAUACUGGCGGGCUUGAAUUCGGGAGAGGGAUGUGGAAUUCCAGGUGUAGCGGUGAAAUGCGUAGAUAUCUGGAGGAACACCGGUGGCGAAGGCGGCAUCCUGGACCGACAUUGACGCUGAGGCGCGAAAGCCAGGGGAGCAAACGGGAUUAGAAACCCUUGUAGUCC
RNAcentral lists this ribosomal RNA (292 nucleotides) under uncultured bacterium. RNAcentral's name for it is "partial 16S ribosomal RNA". It matches the Rfam family "Bacterial small subunit ribosomal RNA", at positions 505 to 796 of the family's 1533-position model. The record is from RNAcentral.